Molecule: long non-coding RNA, 6445 nt
Organism: Passer domesticus (house sparrow)
Lineage: Eukaryota; Metazoa; Chordata; Aves; Passeriformes; Passeridae
Exons: 2
Source: RefSeq, a predicted model, not a curated record
AGGAAAUGCAUUAGGAAAACUUCUAAGAUCUGAAAGUACACUGAAUCAGUGAGAAUCCUACCCAGAAUCUAAGAUUUUCAAAACCUCAAACUUGCAACACAGCUGCAAGUGCACAGCACAGCUGAAAGUAUCCAGAACAUCUAAUAGUAUCAGCAACAAUGUCCAACUGUGCUUACAAACUGCAGUGAAGUCACCUGCAGAACCUCUGUCACUGCUACAUGAUGUAGUAAAGAAGCUUUAUACGUGUUUCACUUGCACACACAUGCAGAAUUAGGUAUGAUCUGUGCUUGUAAGUUAAACCCACCCUAACCUCUAACAGCAGGAGUAGCUGUUUUACCCAGGAGGAAAGGAAAUAUCAGUCAAGCAGAACAUGUAUUUACUGCCCUGAGGCACAGCUGAAGGCAUGGGUGGGGGAAGGGAUGCUACUGAAAAGCUCAUGGCAUCAGUUAUUCCCCAGAGAUGGGAUUCGAUUGCAUGGCUAGAGAUCAUGCUCUGCAGCAAAUAUCCAGGGGAGCUGCCAUCUUAGCAUGGACUGGGGGCAAGGCAGGCCUUGUUCUGAGCAAGCCCAGGGGCAUUGCCACUGUCUGCAAGCUACUGCAAACACAGAAAUAAAAUAGUAAAGCAGGAAAAUCAAAGAAGUCCAUAGGUUUUCAUCUGGUUUAAUUUCCUUUCAUCUGCUGGAGUUCCCUUUACAAGCUAAGAUAGAUCAAGCUGAAUCAGUUCUCUGGACAAAUAAGCAAAUUUGGGAAACACAGAAAAUUGUACUUGUGAGGGGCAGCAUUCUUAAAGUAAACCACAAACACAAGUGCUCUAAUGUGUGAAAUUAUCUCCUCAGCAAAAUGCAUCAGAGAGUGUACAGAUAUCCUCUCAUUUCAAGACUUGCAACAUAAAUUCAGAAAACUGAAUUCAACAUAAAGUAGAGACAAAAAAAUUAUCAGAGGAAAACCCCCACAUUUGUUCCACUUGGUGUUUCCCUCACAUCCAACUCCUAAAUAAUGCAGACCACCAGAGACGCUGCUGCCCAGCUGCUUCCGAGGCAACUUCUAGAAGACUCCAUGAUAAAUACUAGUUUAUUUUUAAAGUUUAUUUCCAUUCAAGUAUUUAUUGAAUUUGAUAAAGCAAGUUACAAAGUUCAGUAUGUAGAGAAUAGCCUUAAAAAAUUCUGCCCAAAAAACGGCAUGCCUGCAAACCUGGCAAAUGAUAUUUCCCCAAAGUGAAGACUUUGUUAUGCAGGACGAGUUAUCUUGACCUAUGCAGCUUCUUGAAUGGAUUUCAGAAAUAAUUAUGUCAAAAUACACAGAGUAGAACACUUCCCUUGCACUUUCCAACUCCUUUAAGCCUUCAAAUAUACUCUUGGAUUUUUUCCAAAGAUUGCUUUUCUUUCAAAAACUAGGUUCUUCCCCCAGAAGAAAAAAUGAACCCAAAAACCUAGAGCCUCUUGGAAAAAAAAAUUAUCACCAGAAUAUUUAUGAAAUUAGUGAGGGAACAAAAACAGCCAUCAAACAUACAUAAAACAGGCCCAUCUAUCUUUCUAAAUACUCAUUAUAUCAUAAGCAAAGGAGGAUUACAAAUUGAACCAAGCUAAGCACAGCAUAUUUACUUAAAGACAAUAAACCCUUUAAAAAAUUCCUCUUGAUCUCAUCAGUUAAACAGUGGAGGACAAAACCACAGAUUGCUAAAGAAGGCUAAAAAUGUUUUAGCAUCUAUUUAGGCUUAAGACUCUUCCUUCUCAUCAAUAUUAGAAGAGCAAUCAUACUGAAUGCCUUGGAGAACUGAACUGAACCAUCGAGACCAUUCUUUCACUCACAAGCUGCAGGAUUUCCCUUGCAGUCAAUAACACUUACAUAUAUAUAUGUAUAUAUAUAUAUAUACACCUUUGUGCAGAACUCAUUCUUGAAAAUAUUGACACAUCUAGUCUUGUCUGUGACUUCACAUGACUUUUUUCCCCUCUGGUCAGAUAUGCUUGGCAAUGAAUGAGACAGAAGGAAGUGACAGUAUUUAUACAGACAUCCAUACAAAGUAAUCCAAAUUCUCUCCAUUCCCAGAAUUAAGGCACACUGUAAGAUGCUCCAACAGUCUUUCAAGCAGGUCAACCUUGAGUAGCAAAACAUUAUCCUUUGUAGUAUAUUCAAUAGAUUCCAAGAUUCUAUGAAGUAUUUGUAUUUUUUUGUAAUUUGUUGGAUCAUACCUGAAUUUUUAAACUUUGGAACUUAGCAAGCACAAACUACUCUCAAGUGCUUUGGAACUUAUGUUCUCCUAUAAAAUUAACUACUCUUAAUAAUCACUGCACAUUUCCUAGUAUUACAUAACAAACCAAAAGAAAGCUCCUUCAAUCAGGCCUUCCACAAAAUUUUUUCCAGAAUUGCUCCAAGAGCAGCACAUAUAUAACAUUUUAUUUAGGCCACACAAGUGGCAACCUCCCCUAUACUUCAAGAAGUCUUGUAGAUGUUCUCUCAAAAUUAAAUUAUGUUUGUUUGACCAAACAUAUUUGUUUGGUCACUUUUUAUGUGCUGUUUCAAUAUCUUAAAUCUACAAAGUAUCAAUUUUAAAUUAACUAAGUGCUUCCUAUACAGCAUCAGCUUCUUGCCUUACUCUUCAUUAAGAGCUGUGGUUAUUUGCUCAUAGUUUACUUCUCUUCUGUGCCUACAGUCAUGGUAGGAUAUGAUUCUAAAAAUAUUUGCCUCUUUAAAGAAAUUUUAAAAAGCCAUAGGUUCUUCCCCAUCUUGUGAACAUAGCCCAGUGUAGUAAUGAUUGGUUUAUUCCUUCUCAUAGUAUUUUAAAAAACACUUUAACAUCCUGACAGACUCUGAAGUCUUCACCAAAGAAGGAGAACAUCCAGCACUCACAGACCUGCUGGCAACACAAAUCAGUCCCUCUAAGGUGCACCUGACACCACCUCAACUUGCACUGACUCCAAUUCAAAGUCACACACAGUUUGUCAGUUCUCUUACUGGGUAUCCUUCAAACCAAUGGUUACCCCAAGAUAACCUGGGAGUUAUAAAUCCUUACGGUAACACACACGUGCAUGUGUCCAGCUGUACAGAAAAAUGUUUGUCAUUAUCUCUACUGCCAAUGACCUCCCAGUCUGGGGCUCCUAAUCUCAACCAGUCCUCUUCCACACCCUCCCCUUCCCCAAGCUCUGCCCCAGGUGCAGAAAACACAAGGUUAUUACAGAGUGAAAACCUCUAGAAGUGUAUGUUCUAACCACUAACAUCAUGUUGAUUUCAAUACUGAGCAACACAGCAUCCUUUCACAGCUGCAGAGAAAACCAAACCCACAACUGAAUUCACUUGAGCAGGUAACACAUUUUUGUCCUGUCUCAUUAAUCUGUGUUCUUAUUUCUAAGCCCUUGCCAAGACUCUUGGUUGCCAUUUUAUCACCAGCAAGGGCACAAGAAAAAGAGAGCUUUGUGAUUCAUUCCAGGGCAAGAAAGAGAUCCUGCUGCUCAAACAGAACAGAAAUAAAAUGAAAAGGUGAUUCGUGUAUGCUGCCAUCCUCGUCAGACAAUUGGCAUCAACAGUUCUCAAAAGCAGAACUGCAAAUCUGUAUUGAAGUCAGAGAUUCUUAGGAUCAGAAUCAAAGGGAUGAUUGACAGAAAUAUGCAGCACUUUUUGCUUUUCCAUGACAGACCAACAUUUAAGAGAAACACCACUCUGUUCACAGUAUAGCUUUAUCUUUUAAUCUUCAAGUCAAACACCACUACAGUGUCAGGUGUAAUAAAUUCUUAUACCUCAAAGCACAUUAGAAAGCCAGCUGGAGCUGCUUUAAAUUAGAAGUGCACCAUGCAUUUUGUUUCUUUUUCCCUGACCACACAUGAGGAAGAAAGAAUCAGCAUGUACCCAGAAAAGAUGGGGUGAGGGACAGCCCCCAAAGGAAGCAGCUACAGCCAGGCAUUAAGUAAAUACUGUUUGUCUUUUAUCUGCUGCAGAGAACCUGAGGCACUGUGUUCUGACAUGAGAUGGUACAGGAAGCAUUUGGAGUGAAGUGAGAAUCUACAACCAAAAAUUGUAUUUAGAGAAUGUAACACAGAGCUUGGGCUUUGAACUAGGCCUUCAAGGUAAGGCAGUGGGAGGAAGUCAGGUUGAACAGUCUAUCUUACUCCAAUAAAUCCAAACCAGCCCAGGAACCACACUGUUCUUUAACUUUAGAUGGUACAGAACACUACAGGUUGGUUUAUGUUUGUUUGGGAUUUUUUUCCUGCAUCUGAAAAGUUACAGUAACUAGGAUUCUAGAUAUGUCAAAAAACCAUCUCUCCCACUUACCCAAGUUCAUUGCAUAUAAUGUGCCUCAAUGAAGGCACUUCAAGAGAAGUUCAGAAAAAAAAUAUCAAAUUUUAUUUGCACUCCCCAUCCUCCCCAGGGCCAGCUGUACUUAUUUUUAAUGAUCCAAGUCUAUCUAUUGCUUUGCAGUUGUUCCCAUCAGAAGAACAUCUCCCAUGUUGGGAUUAUGUAAAGUUUCAGCCUAAGGAAGAUGGGUUUUCCAAAGCUAUGUCCCAAAUACAAGUACAAUAGAUGACAAAUGUUCUUUUUAUUUUAAAAGCAUACAAAAAUAUACCACACAUUUAAAUGCAUUUCUCUUUUACCAUACAGAUUUAGACAAUAAAAUAUGGUUAAGAAAUCUUAAAUCAACAAAAUAUGAAUCAGCUGUCAAAUAAGUAUAUGGUCAACCUGCAAGUACAAAUGUUUUUGUAAAGUAUCUUCAUCAAAAAUUAAGGAAGCCAGAAAUCAAGCAAAAUCCACCUUUAACACCUUUCCCAACACCAUUAGAAACUAUUUAAAAGUAAUUCUUUGUAUUUACUACAGAUUUUUGAAGAGUCCUCAAUGUUUUCUUUGAAUUGAAAAUUUGAUUCUUAACAUUUGAAAUUAUUUAUGAAGCUCUAAAAUGAACAUGAUUUGCUUAACAUAUUUGAAGUAUUUUGCUGACCAAAGCUCCCGAGCCCUUGGAGAAAACUGGCUCAUGUAGUGGCAGCUUAGCUGGCAUGCAAAAAUCUAAGUCCACAAAAAGAAGAGCUCCCUAUUAACUAUGUGCUUGGAUUGCAUUUUCUCAAUGAAUUAAUACAUGCUAAGAGACACAGGAAAAAAAAGAGUUUCUUUCUUCUUGUAAGUACCUACAACCUGAAGCUCAGGAAAGAUUAACCUCUCCCAGGAUUUUUUUUUGGCCCAGAACAUGAAGUGAAUAAUGAAACCCUGAGUGCCUGUAAUUUAGAAUCCAGUGGUGCCAAAAAGGCCUCAUACUCAAAUUCUGAAAUCAUCAUGGGAAAAAAAAUUCAAGUAAAAAAAAUUAAGUGGAAAACCCAUUACUGCCUGAUAGCCCUUGGAUAAGCAAGCAGGUAUGUUUUCUCCUCACCCACAGAAAACCUAAAUUCAGAAGUAGCAGCAUUGUCAAGCCCUCCCAUCUCUUCAGCACAGAAGAGCAGCAUCACCUGAGUGCUGCUGAACACACAAACAGGCAGGAGCAACAGACAGAACUUUUUUUUAGUGUCAAACCCUUUCGAACUAACUUUAUUUGACAAAACAGUUAUAUAGAACAUUUUGUAUUAAAAAGUUUAAAAAGCAACUUAAGUGUUUUCUCCAUGACAACAAAGAGUAAUUUAAUCAGGAGUUUGUUUGAAGCAAAUAAUAAACCAGUCUGUCAAGUAUUUAUCCCAAACUUCAAGCUUUCCUACGUAUUUCAUACGUUACGAGUCUUUGUUUCUUCUAGCAACAGGGAAGAAGGGCAGGCCUAGCCUGUUUCAAGGUUCCACCUAUUCUCCAAGCUCAGACACUCCAACUACUUUGAACAUCUCUGGCUAAUCAUAUUCCUUAGGAGCUGGUGGACAGCAAAAGUGUGUUUACAAAUUCCACAACACAAGUGGGACACCCUGGAAACAGACAGUUUUGUGACCUUCAGUCCAGAGUAAAAAAAAAAAAUCUCUAUCUGGAGUAACCAUAACCUGAAUAAUUUCCCUACCCACAGAUCCGUGCUUUCUUCUGACAUUUUUCCUUAGCAGACUUUCCAGCUACAACAGCUCACACACAGUACCCACCUGACAGCAGCCACAGGCUGUUAACAUGGGGAAUAUAUUAGAUCAACCUUGAUGUCACAUUCAGAAGUUUUCAGAAUACAUCCAGUUCUUUGUACACCACAUGUAUGACCCAAGAGUGAACCCAGGGAAGAUACUUUGAAGUAUGUAUCAAUUUGCAUCCCUUAUCUACUGGCAGUGGUGUCACAGUGACAACCAUUUUGGUUAAGAAAUAAUUCAUGAGGUCCCUAAAGAAACCACUUGCCUUGGAGAUCAAUUCAUCGUGAUUGGCGAGAUGGGCUCUGCAGUGGAUGCAGCUGUAGGUUCGGUGACAGUUUGGCAGGUAAGCCUGGAACGUUUUUGACUUUGUCAUUUUUACCAUCUCUGCUGGUGGCUCCUCACUCAGCUCAGGGCUGGCACUUGAAGAAUUACAACUUUGCUGAA